RNAcentral lists this ribosomal RNA (247 nucleotides) under uncultured bacterium. RNAcentral's name for it is "partial 16S ribosomal RNA". It matches the Rfam family "Bacterial small subunit ribosomal RNA", at positions 15 to 257 of the family's 1533-position model. The record is from RNAcentral.
GAUCCUGGCUCAGGACGAACGCUGGCGGCGCGCCUAACACAUGCAAGUCGAACGAGCGAGAGAGAGCUUGCUUUCUCGAGCGAGUGGCGAACGGGUGAGUAACGCGUGAGGAACCUACCUCAAAGAGGGGGACAACAGUUGGAAACGACUGCUAAUACCGCAUAAGCCCACGACCCGGCAUCGGGAAGAGGGAAAAGGAGCAAUCCGCUUUGAGAUGGCCUCGCGUCCGAUUAGCUAGUUGGUGAGG